GGAUGGGGCCAAUAGCUCAGAGGAUUAGAGUGUGUGGCCAUGAACUACGAAGUUGGGGGAUCGAAUACCUCCUCACCCA
Molecule: non-coding RNA, 79 nt
Organism: Datura stramonium (jimsonweed)
Lineage: Eukaryota; Viridiplantae; Streptophyta; Magnoliopsida; Solanales; Solanaceae
Source: the annotation of a GenBank genome assembly